UUUAGAUGUAAAAUGUUGCAAUAAUAGAACUUGAGUAGUAAUAGUGUAUGGUCUUGAAACUUAAAGAAUUUGGCGGUAUUUUAGUCCAUUUAGAGGAAUCUGUCCCAUAAUCGAUAAUCCGCGUUGGACCUUACUUAGAAUAAAUUUAGUAUGUAUACCGCCGUUGUUAAAAAUCUUUUUAGAGAUUAGAAAUUUUUUUAAGUUUUAUUAAAAAGUGUUUCAGGUCAAGGUGCAGCUUAAUAUUUAAGAGGUGGUGGAUUACAAUAUUUUUAUUUAUAUGGAUUAUUGAUUGAGAUAAAUAAAUAUGAAGGUGGAUUUAAUAGUAAUAUUGUUAAUAAUAUCAAUAUGAUUGAGGCUCUAAAAUAUGU
RNAcentral lists this ribosomal RNA (368 nucleotides) under Ectobiidae sp. 20 FL-2016. RNAcentral's name for it is "12S ribosomal RNA". The record is from RNAcentral. Lineage: Eukaryota; Metazoa; Arthropoda; Insecta; Blattodea; Ectobiidae.